GUUUGAUCCUGGCUCAGGACGAACGCUGGCGGCGUGCCUAAUACAUGCAAGUCGAGCGAAGAGAHGGGAGCUUGCUCCCUGAUCUUAGCGGCGGACGGGUGAGUAACACGUGGGCAACCUGCCCUGCAGACUGGGAUAACUCCGGGAAACCGGAGCUAAUACCGGGUAAUACAUCGCACCGCAUGGUGCAAUGUUGAAAGUUGGCUUUCUGAGCUAACACUGCAGGAUGGGCCCGCGGCGCAUUAGCUAGUUGGUAAGGUAAUGGCUUACCAAGGCGACGAUGCGUAGCCGACCUGAGAGGGUGAUCGGCCACACUGGGACUGAGACACGGCCCAGACUCCUACGGGAGGCAGCAGUAGGGAAUCUUCCGCAAUGGACGAAAGUCUGACGGAGCAACGCCGCGUGAGUGACGAAGGCCUUCGGGUCGUAAAGCUCUGUUGUUAGGGAAGAACAAGUACCGUUCGAAUAGGGCGGUACCUUGACGGUACCUAACCAGAAAGCCACGGCUAACUACGUGCCAGCAGCCGCGGUAAUACGUAGGUGGCAAGCGUUGUCCGGAAUUAUUGGGCGUAAAGCGCGNGCAGGCGGUCUUUUAAGUCUGAUGUGAAAGCCCACGGCUCAACCGUGGAGGGUCAUUGGAAACUGGAGGACUUGAGUGCAGAAGAGGAGAGUGGAAUUCCACGUGUAGCGGUGAAAUGCGUAGAUAUGUGGAGGAACACCAGUGGCGAAGGCGGCUCUCUGGUCUG
This 746-nucleotide ribosomal RNA is filed under the name Bacillus sp. GWS-SE-H117. RNAcentral describes it as "bacterial SSU rRNA". It matches the Rfam family "Bacterial small subunit ribosomal RNA", at positions 11 to 736 of the family's 1533-position model. The record is from RNAcentral. Lineage: Bacteria; Bacillati; Bacillota; Bacilli; Caryophanales; Bacillaceae.